RNAcentral lists this long non-coding RNA (1681 nucleotides) under Pelobates cultripes (western spadefoot toad). The record is from RNAcentral. Lineage: Eukaryota; Metazoa; Chordata; Amphibia; Anura; Pelobatidae.
GUUACAUUCCCAGGACGUACUUAAAAACCAGAGUAAUCUGAAUGUAACUUUCCUGUUUAAAUACUUUAUUAUCAUGCAAUGGUAGGACGAGGGCAUAGUUUAAUAAAAAGAAAAAAAAAAUAUCAAAUCACAUGAAAUACAGUCCAAAGCAAUUUCAAGGUAACCCCUGGUCGUGAUCAGAGAGAUUUUACUCUACCAAUACAACAAACAACAUGGCCUUGAGGAUGUUGAGAGAGAGAGAGAGAGAGACUCUCUUUCCCUCUCUCCCUCAAGUUGUGUCGGGAUGAUCCCAAUGAGUUUAAAUGAUCAUGAGUCGUGGCUAUCCGUAGGACCUCCAAAUUUGGCCAUGUAAUUACAUUGUUCUUUUCCCUCACUUUUGCUCUUAUUACUUUCAAGGCCCAAGUAAUAAACGUUUAACUCGCAAGUUGGAGUAAACUUGGAAUUAAUAAUAACAUUAAUAAUUAAAAAUAACUUAAAAACAGAGUGUAACGUCAGAGUCCACACUCCUUGCUUUCGGUAAUUCAAUAAGAUUUAUUAGUAGAGGCUAAUCAAACAAAUAAACAAUGCAUACACAUUUGAAAUAGGCUAGUAUAUGUUGCUACUAAAACUAGUCAUUGACUGAAUGGAAAGUAGGCUAAAUUAACAUAGUAAAACAGUCAUAGACAGUGAUACAGUUACCACUCCAUUGAUUGUCAGCUGAGAGUAAGAGAGUGAGUGAGCUAUUCAAAGGGCUUUAAGCAGGUUAGCCCCUCCUUCUGCUGGACACUCGUCCCUUAGGAUGUAACACAACCAGAGUGCCUCCUGGGGGAAGGGGUAUUGCAUUGGAAGGGAAUGGAGGGGGAGUUUAUCAACAGCCCAACUGAUUUUGCCCGGUGAAAGGCCAUGUGCUUCACAGAGGACUCCAUUAUUGCCUAAGGGUAGAAUGGGGGCGUGAAUCCUUGUAUUAGAACACAAUAACACUUCAUUGGCAUAAUACUUGGCUGUUAAUAUGUCCCCCCCACUUAUUACAGACAUAAAAUUCUACAUAUUUAGCUGCCUAUGGUUCUCUUUUACAUUUUCAAAGAUGUAAGUGAAGUUUGGACCUUUUUUUUUCUUUUUCUUUUCUUCUUCAUUGCAAGUUUAAAACAUUAAUACAGACUUAUAAGCGAGGUACCAUUACAUAUUGGAUAUACAAUUAAUAUUAUAUUCUAAAUUCAGACUGUACCAAGCAGACGUUAAGACAAAUUACAUAAAACCAUUAUUAGACAAAUUAACAAAACAGAAUGGAGUGCUGGUCGGCAAAUUGGAGACUCAUUUGUUGGUUUCAAGGAGUAUCAUCAGUGGGUAAACAGGUUGUUUACUUAUUUGGGGCCUCUGUUGAUUCAAAGCUUAUGGAGGAUCUAUUUAAAAAUAGAAAUGUGGGAGGGAUAAUCACCCAGGGGUCCGGAUUUAACCCCUUAAGGACACAUGAUGGAAAUAUUCCGUCAUGAUUCCCUUUUAUUCCAGAAGUUGUGUCCUUAAGGGGUUAAGGACCAAACUUCUGGAAUAAAAGGGAAUCAUGACAUGUCACACAUGUCAUGUGUCCUUAAGAGGUUAAAGGAGAUACAUCUUUCCAUAUUGUAUUGAUAUUUAAGCUGGCUUAGAACAUGGGCCCAGGUGGGGACUUGUUUUAACCAGUGUCUUGAUAGUACCAUCUUUGUAA